AAACGAUUGAAGUCAGUCGUGUGAAGGGUAUUCAGCCGUCUCUGGCGGUGUACUUGCCCUUCACGGGUCAACAUCAGUUUGAUCCGGUGGAAAAAGGCGGGAGGAAGGUGGCACCCUCGGGUGUGUUAUAGCCUCCUGUCACAUACAUCGGACCAGACUGAGGAACGCAGCUCGCAGCAAUGCCGGGGUUCGCCCACGUACGAGCUUAGGAUGUUGACAUAAUGGCUUUAAACGA
This 235-nucleotide ribosomal RNA is filed under the name Cryptococcus sp. (in: basidiomycete fungi). RNAcentral's name for it is "Cryptococcus sp. (in: Fungi) partial large subunit ribosomal RNA". The record is from RNAcentral. Lineage: Eukaryota; Fungi; Basidiomycota; Tremellomycetes; Tremellales; Cryptococcaceae.